AGUCGAGGAUCUUCGGCAAUGGGCGCAAGCCUGACCGAGCGACGCCGCGUGCGGGAUGAAGGCCUUCGGGUUGUAAACCGCUGUCAGGGGGGAUGAAAUCAUGGUGGGUCCUCCCAUCAUGUUGACAGAGCCCCAGAGGAAGCGCGGGCUAAGUUCGUGCCAGCAGCCGCGGUAAUACGAACUGCGCGAACGUUAUUCGGAAUCACUGGGCUUACAGGGUGCGUAGGUGGCAGAGAAAGUAGGGUGUGAAAUGCCUUGGCUCAACCAAGGCACAGCGCUCUAAACUCCUUUGCUUGAGUGAGUCAGGGGUGCACGGAACUUCCGGUGGAGCGGUGAAAUGUGUUGAUAUCGGAAGGAACACCGGCGGCGAAAGCGGUGCACUGGGGCUUAACUGACACUGAGGCACGAAAGCCAGGGGAGCGAA
This 424-nucleotide ribosomal RNA is filed under the name uncultured Planctomyces sp. RNAcentral's name for it is "bacterial SSU rRNA". It matches the Rfam family "Bacterial small subunit ribosomal RNA", at positions 353 to 772 of the family's 1533-position model. The record is from RNAcentral. Lineage: Bacteria; Pseudomonadati; Planctomycetota; Planctomycetia; Planctomycetales; Planctomycetaceae.